CUAUGGCUCACUACUUGCACUUUCCAUUUUUGGGAAGUGCUUUUUUUUAGGUUCUCCACCAAAUGUGGUGGGUAUAUAAUUUAAAGAACUAUUUUUAAAAUACAACUUUUAGAGCUUUUAUU
Molecule: ribosomal RNA, 122 nt
Filed under: Staphylococcus aureus
Lineage: Bacteria; Bacillati; Bacillota; Bacilli; Caryophanales; Staphylococcaceae
Source: RNAcentral